Molecule: ribosomal RNA, 326 nt
Filed under: uncultured eukaryote
Lineage: Eukaryota
Description: partial 18S ribosomal RNA
Rfam family: Eukaryotic small subunit ribosomal RNA
Source: RNAcentral
CCCUUAGAUGUUCUGGGCCGCACGCGCGCUACACUGACGAUGGCAACGAGUUUUUCCUUCGCCGAAAGGUGUGGGUAAUCUUUUGAAACAUCGUCGUGCUGGGGAUAGAUCAUUGCAAUUUUUGAUCUUGAACGAGGAAUUCCUAGUAAGCGCGAGUCAUCAGCUCGCGUUGAUUACGUCCCUGCCCUUUGUACACACCGCCCGUCGCUACUACCGAUUGAGUGGUCCGGUGAGGCUUUGGGAUCUGAGCGGAAAGAGCGUUUCGCUGUUUCUGCCCGGAAAACUCAGUCGAACCUUAUCAUUUAGAGGAAGGAGAAGUCGUAACA